AUACGAAGGGGGCAAGCGUUGUUCGGAAUUACUGGGCGUAAAGCGCGCGUAGGCGGAUUGGUCAGUUAGGGGUGAAAUCCCAGGGCUUAACCCUGGAACUGCCUCUAAUACUGCCAGUCUUGAGUUCGGGAGAGGUGAGUGGAAUUCCUAGUGUAGAGGUGAAAUUCGUAGAUAUUAGGAAGAACACCAGUGGCGAAGGCGGCUCACUGGCCCGAUACUGACGCUGAGGCGCGAAAGCGUGGGGAGCAAACAGGAUUAGAUACCCUUGUAGUCC
This 274-nucleotide ribosomal RNA is filed under the name uncultured bacterium. RNAcentral's name for it is "partial 16S ribosomal RNA". It matches the Rfam family "Bacterial small subunit ribosomal RNA", at positions 523 to 796 of the family's 1533-position model. The record is from RNAcentral.